AUUGAACGCUGGCGGCAUGCUUUACACAUGCAAGUCGAACGGUAACAGGCCUUCGGGUGCUGACGAGUGGCGAACGGGUGAGUAAUGCAUCGGAACGUGCCCAAUCGUGGGGGAUAACGUAGCGAAAGUUACGCUAAUACCGCAUAAGCCCUGAGGGGGAAAGUGGGGGACCCGCAAGGCCUCACGCGAAUGGAGCGGCCGAUGUCAGAUUAGCUAGUUGGUGGGGUAAAGCUCACCAAGGCGACGAUCUGUAGCGGGUCUGAGAGGAUGAUCCGCCACACUGGGACUGAGACACGGCCCAGACUCCUACGGGAGGCAGCAGUGGGGAAUUUGGGACAAUGGGCGCAAGCCUGAUCCAGCCAUGCCGCGU
RNAcentral lists this ribosomal RNA (370 nucleotides) under uncultured bacterium. Its description in RNAcentral is "bacterial SSU rRNA". It matches the Rfam family "Bacterial small subunit ribosomal RNA", at positions 29 to 402 of the family's 1533-position model. The record is from RNAcentral.